This 492-nucleotide ribosomal RNA is filed under the name uncultured bacterium. RNAcentral describes it as "partial 16S ribosomal RNA". It matches the Rfam family "Bacterial small subunit ribosomal RNA", at positions 29 to 507 of the family's 1533-position model. The record is from RNAcentral.
AUUGAACGCUGGCGGCAUGCUUUACACAUGCAAGUCGAACGGUAACAGGCCUUCGGGUGCUGCCGAGUGGCGCACGGGUGAGUAAUGCAUCGGAACGUACCCAGAGGUGGGGGAUAACGCAGCGAAAGCUGUGCUAAUACCGCAUGUGAUCUGAGGAUGAAAGCGGGGGACCGAGCAGCAAUGUUUGGCCUCGCGCCUUUGGAGCGGCCGAUGUCGGAUUAGCUAGUUGGUGGGGUAAAGGCCUACCAAGGCGACGAUCCGUAGCUGGUCUGAGAGGACGACCAGCCACACUGGAACUGAGACACGGCCCAGACUCCUACGGGAGGCAGCAGUGGGGAAUUUUGGACAAUGGGCGCAAGCCUGAUCCAGCAAUGCCGCGUGCGGGAAGAAGGCCUUCGGGUUGUAAACCGCUUUUGGCAGGAACGAAACGGUGUCCGCUAAUACCGGGCGCUAAUGACGGUACCUGCAGAAUAAGCACCGGCUAACUACGUG